This is a long non-coding RNA of Colius striatus (speckled mousebird), 718 nucleotides long. RefSeq lists it as uncharacterized. The transcript has 2 exons. The record is from RefSeq and is a predicted model, not a curated record. Lineage: Eukaryota; Metazoa; Chordata; Aves; Coliiformes; Coliidae.
CCGCGUCACCCUCAGGAACGGGGGAACCGAAACUCGCAGCCCCGGGGGACCGGGUGGCCGGCAAACGGCCCACCGAGGCACCUCCGACAUGGCUCUGGGCGCCCGCAGAAAGGCCGGGUUGCUAAAAAACGACGCCGCAGUGCCUCCGGCUUGGGUGGAAAAGCAGCUUUCGUCCCGCCUCGGUCCACCCCAGACACCCUGACACCGGCCGUUUCCCCAGGGCGACCCGUGCUCAGAGGCAGGAGCUGCUGCUCCGGUCGUCCACGCUUUGAGAGAAACCUAGGGAGUGUAAUAAAUAAUAUAAAAUACCUAGGGGUGGACCGUGAAAAUGGGCUAUGGGGACACUGUGAUAGUGCUUAAAAAUAAGCAAUCGAGAGGGAACAGGAGUACUGCUGGAGCCCAAAAAUGCCCAAAUUAGGAAUAUCGGGACAUCCGAUCUACAGCAAAUGCAGAGGAAAAAGAACUUUAAAUCCUAAGGAUGACCAAUGAAGAUCUCCGACGUAAAAGCUGGACAUUUCGGAACCCAAUCAUGGACUAUGUUCAGGCGUGUGGACAGCAUUGAAAUCUUAUAUAAGGCGGGAAAUAGAAGGCCAAAGUGUGCCGUGGCGGAACUACUGUGUUUCCCCGGUCACCCAGCGCUGUUUUGCUCAUUUGCCGCUUGCUAAAUGUCUUUAUUUUAUGUUAAACAUUAAUUAAUAAAUUCCUUUAUAGAAGAAAA